UUUAAACUUUACCACACAUCUAUAAUAAAAUAAUUAUUUUAGUUAUAUACAUAUUACACACACACAUCCACAAAAUUUGAAAUGACUAUAUAAACCCGUCAAUAUGACACUAAAAUUAUCAUUUUCAAGACAAAACUCUUGCAGUAUACUGAUAAAAUCGAUAAAAUACCAAAAUGUCAAAAAUAUUUUUGUUGCUAUCAAUUUUAUUUCUUAUCGGAGUUUCAGAAACUUUUGCCUAUGGAUGUGUAGGCGCAUGGUGUCAUCCGCAACAAGAACAUUAUUGCUGUGAGUGGCAUACGUGUACGAGUUAUUUUUUUCAGGGUACAUGUUAUUAUUGAUAAGGAUCAUAAAAAAAUGAUUCCAGCAAAUAUGUAAUGUCAAAAGAGUACAUUUACUUUGAAUAAAGAAAAAAAAAAAAAAUCUCAUUAUCCCAUUUGUUAUC
Molecule: long non-coding RNA, 442 nt
Organism: Microplitis mediator
Lineage: Eukaryota; Metazoa; Arthropoda; Insecta; Hymenoptera; Braconidae
Exons: 3
Source: RefSeq, a predicted model, not a curated record